UAUCUCUGUAGAGUAUGCAUAUCAAUAAGCGGAGGAAAAGAAACUAACAAGGAUUCCCUUAGUAACGGCGAGUGAAGCGGGAAGAGCUCAAAUUUGAAAUCUUCAAGGUUCAACCUUGACGAAUUGUAGUUUAAAGAAGUGUUUUCUGUUGAAGUUUCGGUAAAAGUUCUUUGGAAUAGGACAUCAUAGAGGGUGAGAAUCCCGUAUUUGACCGUUAUUUUCAGCUGUGUGAUACACUUUCAAAGAGUCGGAUUGUUUGGGAAUGCAGUCCAAAAUGGGUGGUAAAUUUCAUCUAAAGCUAAAUACUGGCGAGAGACCGAUAGCGAACAAGUACCGUGAGGGAAAGAUGAAAAGAACUUUGAAAAGAGAGUUAAACAGUACGUGAAAUUGUCAAAAGGGAAGCGUUUGACACCAGUGUUGUUUUCUCGAAAAUCAAUUAAAAAAGGCAGGAUUUUGUGUUGUAUUGACUUUAUCAGCUUUCUGCACUCUUUUCUUGUCUUUUUUAAUGCACUUUUCGUUUAACAAGUCAACAUCAAUUUCUUUUGUUGUAAAAGAGUCAUUGGAAGGUGGCUUUCACUUUCGGAUGAAAGUGUUUAUAGCCUUUGCUCUCUGCAAUCGGAGAGAUUGAGGUCUGCAGCGUAGAUCCUUCGGGGCUAGAUACGUAGAUGCUAAGUUAUAGUUUUUUAUAGACAACUUGUUGACUAUAAUUAAUCAUGUAGCUUACUCGUUUGCGCUAUUUUACCUACGCUUAGGAUGUUGAUCUGUAGUGCGUGCGC
RNAcentral lists this ribosomal RNA (776 nucleotides) under uncultured Neocallimastigales. RNAcentral's name for it is "partial large subunit ribosomal RNA". It matches the Rfam family "Eukaryotic large subunit ribosomal RNA", at positions 24 to 632 of the family's 3401-position model. Lineage: Eukaryota; Fungi; Neocallimastigomycota; Neocallimastigomycetes; Neocallimastigales. The record is from RNAcentral.